GUCAGCAUGCAUAGGACUUAAGAUGCAGUUAGCAAUUUUGGCAAAUGGCACCAUCUCCUACCCGUACCACCCCAAGGUAUGGAAUGAGUCCCUCAUGAAGGCAGCAGAAGCAGUGGAGAAUAGAGAAAGGGUGCUUUCAAAUAAAAGCGACUAGGACUGAGAGUUGAUGUCCUUUAUUUUCCUUACCAAUAGACUUACUACAAGAUUUUGCUGCUCUGUGGGAAACCCCCAGUCAUUCCAUAGACCUGCAAAAGACUACUUCUUACGUAAGUUUUGGCUAGAGGUUGGAAAAAUUGUGGGGUUUUUUUGUUUUUGUUUUAAUUAGAAGCAGAAUUGUCACAAGGCCCCUGGACCUGUUGUGGAUACUGACAGCUGCAGUCCCAAAAUGUAAGUUCUCCAGGCUGCAGGUUGGGGCAGCAAUGAAAACGCAGCUAAAUCGAGCUAUCGAGCUGGCGCGGCGGGGGGGGGCGGCGGUGGUUCUGGACUUCAUUCCUGAGGUCAGUGUCUCCAUCCUGGCCGCAGCAGAAUUACAAAACAUGAACCCUUUGGGAUAUUUGCACCAAGCGCUCCCAUGAAACGAGUGUGAAGAAAAAUUCACAAACGGCCCAGUUGGAGGAAAGGAGGUCCGGAGCCAGGAGGGGCAGGGCGAACGGGCCUGGGCGUACCCUCCAGGCUCGGUUUUUCCUGCCGCCCUCCCUGCCUUCCUCGACCUGCCAGCCAGCCAAGCAAGGAGCGAGCAGGAGCCAAGGCGCCUGAGAGGCCCGCUGGCCCCGCGGUUCCUCGCCUCAGGGUUUUUACGCGGCAGAGGCGAGUUGGGCCUUUCCGAAAGCAGGGUGUAUGUGUGUGUGGGGGGGAAGAGGGUACGGGGGACCAGCUCGCCACUCCCUGGAGCCGAGGGGCGGUUUCCCGAGCGUGCCCAGCAGGAUCAGGGGCGUGGUGCGAGGCUCGCCCCUCACAUCAAAGCUUAUGGGCCGUUUAAAAAGGAGCUCAGCCAGCCGAGAAGAUGUUUCAGAAUGGCUCAGGAAGGCACGCGUCCCUCUGACUGUUUUGGUAGGUCUCUGAACUGGAAGUUUUGUAAAGCAGCUAAUUUGGCACUGAGCGCUCAACACUUCUACACUAUGAGAAUGAACAGGGUAGAUAGUCCGUUUGUAUUUUGCCUCUUACAGAGGCCAGAGAUAUGACUUUAAGGAGUAAUACAGUGGUGCCUCGCUUAACGAUGUUAAUUCGUUCUGAAAAAAUAGCUGCUAAGCGAUUUCAUCUUUAAGCAAAACGCGGUUUCCCAUUGAAAUGCAUUGAAAACCGGAUAAUCCAUUCCAAUAGGAACAAAUUGCUAUCCUUAAGCAAAAAUUGCCAUAGGAAACGCGGUUCCCCAAUUGAAAUGCAUUGAAACCUAUUCAAUGCAUCUCAAUGGGGGGGGGGAAAUACAACAGUAAAUUAAAAAGAGUCAGAACAAAGUCAAAUUUGGUUAACAAAGGGUUUAUUAAGUGCACUUUAUGAUUUCAAACAUUUUAAACAGUAAACUUUAACUUUAUAAAUAACCUAAAAACAUUUAAAAAACGGCAAACAUGGGGCUGUUUAAACCAUCAUUAAGCGAAACAGGGGACCCAAAAUUUAAUCGUUAUGUGAAGCAUGGUCCCAACCAUCGCUAAGCGAAAAUCGCCCAUAGGGACCAUCGUUAAACGAAACGCAAAAAUGCUCCGAAAAAGUCAUCGUUAAGCGAUUUCAUCGCUAAAUGGAGUGCCCAUUAAGCGAGGCACCUAUUGAAUGGCAAUAGGUCAGAUCUGCAAUUUGUUAAAUAGAAAAUGUCUUGGAAUCUCUUGCUGAGAAUCCAAAGGCAAGAGUAGGUAUCACUGAAAAAAAAUAUACACAGACAAAGAUGCUAGCUAUCGAGCCAUACAAGUCUUCAUCAGGCUGGACAGCUCUGCUUUGUGGAAUGUGUAGAAAAACAUGUACAAGUUCCAAAAGUUAUAGCAGAUGAAUAUCUGACAGCAUCAGCAACCUUAGUUGUGUGUUGUUAGGUUAGUUCUGACUUAUGGCCACUCUUCCCAAGGUAAAAUGUUCAGGAAGUGGACUUCCCUUCUUCUGCAGAAGUUCUAGGACUCUGCAGUUUGCUCAAGGCCACAUAGGCCAGCUCUUCUCCUAGAAGACACAGUAGGGAAUUGUAACUCCUGACCGAAGAGCUCCAGCUCACUGAGCUAACCAACCACAAAUCCCUAAUAUGUUGUCCCGGUGGAUAAAAUGUUGUCUCAGACACCAGCAGACACCAGGCACCCUUCACUUUAGCAAUUUGUAUAACUUGGAUGGAAUCUAAAGUCCUUUGUAUAGAAGGGUAGACUACACAGCCUUGUGCAGUUUUAACAUGUACUGAUAAUUAUAGCUAUUAUUCCAAACCCCGUCCUUAUAGUUAUCAAUACAGUGGCUUUUUUUAAUAAAAUAAUUCUUUACCAUCCUGUUUCUCA
This 2459-nucleotide long non-coding RNA is filed under the name Pogona vitticeps (central bearded dragon). Its description in RNAcentral is "lncRNA (ENSPVIG00000004642.1)". Lineage: Eukaryota; Metazoa; Chordata; Lepidosauria; Squamata; Agamidae. The record is from RNAcentral.